RNAcentral lists this transfer RNA (76 nucleotides) under Hyphomicrobiales bacterium. Its description in RNAcentral is "tRNA-Asn". It matches the Rfam family "tRNA". Rfam says of the family: Transfer RNA (tRNA) molecules are approximately 80 nucleotides in length. Their secondary structure includes four short double-helical elements and three loops (D, anti-codon, and T loops). Further hydrogen bonds mediate the characteristic L-shaped molecular structure. tRNAs have two regions of fundamental functional importance: the anti-codon, which is responsible for specific mRNA codon recognition, and the 3' end, to which the tRNAs corresponding amino acid is attached (by aminoacyl-tRNA synthetases). tRNAs cope with the degeneracy of the genetic code in two manners: having more than one tRNA (with a specific anti-codon) for a particular amino acid; and 'wobble' base-pairing, i.e. permitting non-standard base-pairing at the 3rd anti-codon position. Lineage: Bacteria; Pseudomonadati; Pseudomonadota; Alphaproteobacteria; Hyphomicrobiales. The record is from RNAcentral. RNAcentral also lists the same sequence under 4 other names.
UCCCCGAUAGCUCAGUUGGUAGAGCAUUCGACUGUUAAUCGAAUGGUCCCUGGUUCGAGUCCAGGUCGGGGAGCCA